Molecule: unclassified non-coding RNA, 571 nt
Filed under: Hevea brasiliensis (rubber tree)
Lineage: Eukaryota; Viridiplantae; Streptophyta; Magnoliopsida; Malpighiales; Euphorbiaceae
Source: RNAcentral
UGUUUUUUUUUUUUUUUUAAUUACAACGUUUUGCAUUAACAUGACCCACAGGGCAAACCAUGCAUGAUAUCUAUACAAGGUUUUUGAGGCAUAAUAACCACCUCAUUGCAUAGAACCCAAACCCAUCUAAACUCAACCCUAGCAGCCGAUGGAACACCCCUGCCUAAACCAUUGAAAUGCCGCCUUGUGCUGGGCUGGUGCAUAAACCGGGAAGAGAGAGAAUAGCCACUCCAGCAACAACAGCUGAAUGAAAAAGCUCAUGCGACAAUGCUACCCAGCCACUGCUGGACGUCAAAAAAGCCUCUCAAAACUUUCUUGUGCUGCCGUAGAAGCCAGUCACCGAAGGAGAAGAAGGGCAGAGCUCGCGGCAUUUCACUCUCUUAUAGCCUGGUGGAGGGUCUGAACCAAGGAAAGGCUGACUUACUGACCCAAGAGGUACCCUUCAAACGAAACGAACAAAUCUUCCUCAGUGGACCACCUACCAUCGGCAAACUAAUCAGUAUAGGCAGAACCAAAACACUAGGUUUUCAAGGAUGCCUUCUCACUGAAAUAUAUACCUGUAAGCAUACAC